Macaca mulatta (Rhesus monkey) is the source of this 1352-nucleotide RNA transcript. It is a transcript of the gene named large ribosomal subunit protein uL18 pseudogene, with no coding region annotated. Lineage: Eukaryota; Metazoa; Chordata; Mammalia; Primates; Cercopithecidae. The record is from RefSeq and is a predicted model, not a curated record.
GCUUGCCCACUGCUCACCUCCUGCUGUGUGGCCCAGUUUCUAAUAGGCCACAGACUGGUACCAGUCCAUGGCCCUAGGGUUGGGGAACCCCGUCCUAACAGGAUAUGUAACAAUGUAUGUGUAAUUAAGUUGUAAUAUACAUGUAAUUAAGAGUAGAAAACAUAUGUGGAAUUAAAGAGUAACAACAUAUGUGUUAAUAAGAGUACUUAGAAGGAGAGAAGAGAAAAGGGCAGACAAAAAUAUUUGAGUAGAUUAUUAACCUGAAGCAGAUUGUUUUCACUUAAGUUGCUUAUUGUAACCUCCAGAUUACACUUUCAAAAUAGGGGACCCUUCCCCCCCUUCCCAGCGCCGCUGGGCCUGCAGGUCUCUGUUGAGCCGCGGACGUGGGUCUCAGUUCCACAGGAUGGGGUUUGUUAAAGUUGUUAAGAAUAAGGCCUACUUUAAGAGAUACCAAGUGAAAUUUAGAAGACGACGAGAGGGUAAAACUGAUUACUGUGCUCACAAAUGCUUGGUGAUACAGGAUAAAAAUAAAUACAACACACCCAAAUACAGGAUGAUAGUUCGUGUAACAAACAGAGAUAUCAUUUGUCAGAUUGCUUAUGCCUGUAUAGAGGGGGAUAUAAUAGUCUGCGCAGCAUAUGCCCACGAACUGCCAAAAUAUGGUGGGAAGGUUGGCCUGACAAAUUAUGCUGCAGCAUAUCGUACUAGCCUGCUGCUGGCCCGCAGGCUUCUCAAUAGGUUUGGCAUGGACAAGAUCUAUGAAGGCCAAGUGGAGGUGACUGGCGAUGAAUACAACGUGGAAAGCAUUGAUGGUCAGCCAGGUGCCUUCACCUGCUAUUUGGAUGCAGGCCUUGCCACAACUACCACUGGCAAUAAAGUUUUCGGCGCCCUGAAGGGAGCUGUGGAUGGAGGCUUGUCUAUCCCUCAUGGUACCAAACGAUUUCCUGGUUAUGAUUCUGAAAGCAAGGAAUUUAAUGCGGAAGUACACCGGAAGCACAUCAUGGGCCAGAAUGCUGCAGAUUGCAUGCACUACUUAAUGAAAGAAGAUGAAGAUGCUUACAAGAAACAGUUCUCUCAAUACAUAAAGAACAGCAUAACUCCAGACAUGAUGGAGGAGAUGUAUAAGAAAGCUCAUGCUGCAAUAUGAGAGAAUCCAGUCUAUGAAAAGAAGCCCAAGAAAGAAGUUUAAAAGAAGAGGUGGAACCGUCCCAAAAUGUCCCUUGCUCGGAAGAAGGAUCCAGUAGCUCAAAAGAAGGCAAGCUUCCUCAGAGCUCAGGAGCGGGCUGCUGAGAGCUAAACCAAACAAUUUUCUAUGAUGAUUUUUCAGAUACAGGCAAUAAACUUAUGGACAG